CAGAUUGAGCCCAGAAAGUGAAGACAGAGGGUUUGCUGGAACAAAAGACUUAUCAUGGAGAGGUUUCAUCACUCCACCUGUGCUUGCUUUUCACACAGAGAAGUCUAGACUAUAUUCCAAUUAUAAGGGGAGCCUGUGACUGCUACCAUCUGGACCUUGAGAAGUGACACUCUGGACCUAGCACAUUGUCUGAGUUGGGCAAAAAUCAUAGAGGUUGGAAAAAAACCAGAUGUGGCCAGAAAGGUCUCUUAGGCUGUGUUGACAGGCCUAAACAAAAUGCUAAAAUGAUCUCACUGUAGAGAGAAAAACAACUGCAGAGUGACAACAGCUGCUAAAAAAAACCCUGAAGGCCCUGCUUCUGUUUUG
Molecule: long non-coding RNA, 366 nt
Organism: Rhineura floridana
Lineage: Eukaryota; Metazoa; Chordata; Lepidosauria; Squamata; Rhineuridae
Exons: 3
Source: RefSeq, a predicted model, not a curated record